This 694-nucleotide ribosomal RNA is filed under the name uncultured bacterium. RNAcentral describes it as "bacterial SSU rRNA". It matches the Rfam family "Bacterial small subunit ribosomal RNA", at positions 32 to 715 of the family's 1533-position model. The record is from RNAcentral.
AACGCUAGCUACAGGCUUAACACAUGCAAGUCGAGGGGUAACGAGAGGAAAGCUUGCUUUCCUUGUCGACGACCGGCGCACGGGUGAGUAACGCGUAUCCAACCUGCCCCCAACUAGGGAAUAACCUUGCGAAAGUAAGACUAAUACCCUAUAAUUUCCUCAGAUGUCAUCUGACGAGGAAUAAAGAUUUAUCGGUUGUGGAUGGGGAUGCGUCUGAUUAGCUUGUUGGCGGGGUAACGGCCCACCAAGGCAACGAUCAGUAGGGGUUCUGAGAGGAAGGUCCCCCACAUUGGAACUGAGACACGGUCCAAACUCCUACGGGAGGCAGCAGUGAGGAAUAUUGGUCAAUGGGCGGAAGCCUGAACCAGCCAAGUAGCGUGCAGGAUGACGGCCCUAUGGGUUGUAAACUGCUUUUAUACAGGAAUAAAGUUAGCCACGUGUGGUUAUUUGUAGGUACUGUAUGAAUAAGGACCGGCUAAUUCCGUGCCAGCAGCCGCGGUAAUACGGGAGGUCCAGGCGUUAUCCGGAUUUAUUGGGUUUAAAGGGAGCGUAGGCCGUCUGUUAAGCGUGUUGUGAAAUGUAGAUGCUCAACAUCUGAAUUGCAGCGCGAACUGGCAGACUUGAGUGUGCGCAACGUAGGCGGAAUUCGUGGUGUAGCGGUGAAAUGCUUAGAUAUCACGAAGAACUCCGAUUG